UUACAGCAAUCGAGUUUAAUACUAGAACUACUGGACCAGUCAUUUUGACUGGAACGCUUCAUUUUCAUCUUUUUAUUUUUUGGAGUUAAUCAAUUGUGUGGUCUGCAAUAAACAAUUAAAUAUAUUACAACUCUUCGAAAUUGUUUAAAAAUUAACUUUGAAUGAUAAACGCGUAAACCGAUUGGUAGUGCUAGUGUUAAAUAGGCUUGCUUUUGAUCUAUUUAUUGGUUUUGUAAAUAUGAUGUUUAAAUAUGAUUACAAAACAAUUUAACGUUUAACCAAUUUCGUAUGUAAUAUACUUGCCUGAUAGUAACUAGUAUGCCUGAAAGACACUGAAGGAUAGAAUUGAGGAUCUAAUUAACAGCUUGAAUGUUUACUAGCGCAACAUACUUCAAAAACCGAAUAUUGCUUAAGAAGAUAUUAAAACAAGAAAUCAUUUCCAGAGAGGCGUAUCUCUCUUCUCUCUCUUCUUGGCUUUUAACGACCUUACAACAGGUCACGCCGGCCAUUUCUGGCUUACUAGACUUAUUUUUACCACGUAGCCGGAUAGUCAGUCCUUGCUACGGGGGGACGGUCCGAAUAGGCAAUGGAUACGAAUGGUUUAUAUAGUGUAAAAUCCAAUAUUAAAAUAAUGUAUGCACAAACUUAUAGAAAUAAAAAUACAUAAAAAG
Long non-coding RNA from Anopheles funestus (African malaria mosquito), 671 nucleotides. RefSeq lists it as uncharacterized. The record is from RefSeq and is a predicted model, not a curated record. The transcript is spliced from 2 exons. Lineage: Eukaryota; Metazoa; Arthropoda; Insecta; Diptera; Culicidae.